UUAGAAAAUAAAAAAAGAGUUAUUAAAGAGAAAUUGCAAAAAAAGUUUGCCGCUAUCGGAUCAGAUUUUUCUGAUGUUCGAAAACGAAACUCGAGACACUAAUACUAGUGAAUACAAUACUUACAGCUUUGCGGCGAAGAUACUAGAUCAAAACCAUAAGCAUAUAUGAUGGAGCGGAAGCUUCUAGGGAUAGGAGUAGAGAUCCGUUGAUUCUCAGAAUACCCGGAAAUCUAGGGUUUGAGAGUCCUCCUCUCAGGGCUUUCGCAAAAGCUCUUGGAUUUGUGAAUACUCUUCACAGUGGUUUAUUAAAACCUCUUUAAAUCUUUCGAUUAAUCAAUAUAUCAAAAUAACUGCAUACAAUAGGAGGCUUAAGAAGCCUAUUUAUAAUAAAGCAUAAAACCCUAAAACUAAGAAUAUUCUAGAAUAAUUAUAAUAAAUAAAUUAAGAGAUAAUAAUAAGAGAUAUUUGGAAUAUCUCGCUGCAUCAGGUCUCGCCGGCCAAGAAAAGAUUCGUCCUCGAAUCUUGUAUCUGCGCUGCAUCAGCUCCCGCCGGCCAAGAAAGAUUCGCCCUCGAAUCUUCAGCAGAUUUUUUAGCAAAAGUGAUCUUUGUAGAUCCAUCUUUAUCUCUGUCGGUUGAUUUAGCUCGAUUUUUGCACAAUCCCGGUUUGAUCCGAAAUUUGCACGAACUGUAACUGACCCAAAAUUUGCACGAACCGGAUCUGACCCGAAAAUUGCACGAACCGGAUCUGACCAAAAUUUCGCACAAAUCACCUCCUCGACAGAUGUACAGGUCGGAACUUGCAUGAAACUUACCCAAAUCGGUGGUUUCAUGAUUUCUGCAGAAAACCCGAAUUUUGCACGGAUAUGAUUUCGCCCGAACUUUGCACAAAUAAGAUCUUCUUCAUAAACAUCAUAGAUCGGAUCACCAACAAUUUCUCUGUAGAUCUGGUGGUUCUCCUCUCUCUCGAUAAAAGGACUUUCGUCCAUGAUAGGGUAGAUGCAAUCACUUGCCAUGUGAUAACCAGAAUCGUUCAUUGAUUUAGAAAUCAAAGAGACGCAGCUCUGAUACCAAAUGAUGGAGCGGAAGCUUCUAGGGAUAGGAGUAGAGAUCCGUUGAUUCUCAGAAUACCCGGAAAUCUAGGGUUUGAGAGUCCUCCUCUCAGGGCUUUCGCAAAAGCUCUUGGAUUUGUGAAUACUCUUCACAGUGGUUUAUUAAAACCUCUUUAAAUCUUUCGAUUAAUCAAUAUAUCAAAAUAACUGCAUACAAUAGGAGGCUUAAGAAGCAUAUUUAUAAUAAAGCAUAAAACCCUAAAACUAAGAAUAUUCUAGAAUAAUUAUAAUAAAUAAAUUAAGAGAUAAUAAUAAGAGAUAUUUGGAAUAUCUCGCUGCAUCAGGUCUCGCCGGCCAAGAAAAGAUUCGUCCUCGAAUCUUGUAUCUGCGCUGCAUCAAUAUGGCAACUCGACUCUCUACUUAGAUCUCGUGCUUAGCAACCUAAUAAAUCGUAGAUCUAAGCAUAUCAUUAUUGAGAAGCUCUUAACCUUCCAAUAAUGAUGGUCUAACAUCCUUCC
Molecule: long non-coding RNA, 1567 nt
Filed under: Capsella rubella
Lineage: Eukaryota; Viridiplantae; Streptophyta; Magnoliopsida; Brassicales; Brassicaceae
Description: long non-coding RNA (CRUB_LNC002536)
Source: RNAcentral